UGGCUCAGGAUGAACGCUGGCGGCGCGCUUAACACAUGCAAGUCGAACGGUUAAAGCACCUCCGGGUGUGCAUAAAGUGGCGAACGGCUGAGUAACACGUGGGCAACCUGCCCCCCGCACCGGGAUAGCCUCGGGAAACCGUGGGUAAUACCGGAUACUCCGCCACCCCCGCAUGGGGGAGGCGGGAAAGCGUACACGGCGGGGGAUGGGCCCGCGGCCUGUUAGCUCGUUGGCGGGGUAACGGCCCACCAAGGCGAUUAUGGGUAGCCGGGUUGAGAGACCGACCGGCCAGAUUGGGACUGAGACACGGCCCAGACUCCUACGGGAGGCAGCAGUGGGGAAUCUUGCACAAUGGGCGAAAGCCUGAUGCAGCCGACGCCGCGUGCGGGAUGAAGGCCCUCGGGUUGUAAACCGCUUUCAGCAGGGACGAGGCGCAAGUGACGGUACCUGCAGAAGAAGCCCCGGCUAACUACGUGCCAGCCGCUGC
RNAcentral lists this ribosomal RNA (487 nucleotides) under uncultured bacterium. RNAcentral's name for it is "bacterial SSU rRNA". It matches the Rfam family "Bacterial small subunit ribosomal RNA", at positions 20 to 518 of the family's 1533-position model. The record is from RNAcentral.